RNAcentral lists this ribosomal RNA (305 nucleotides) under uncultured bacterium. Its description in RNAcentral is "bacterial SSU rRNA". It matches the Rfam family "Bacterial small subunit ribosomal RNA", at positions 337 to 659 of the family's 1533-position model. The record is from RNAcentral.
GCCUACGGGAGGCAGCAGUGGGGAAUAUUGGGCAAUGGGGGGAACCCUGACCCAGCGACGCCGCGUGAGGGAAGAAGGUUUUCGGAUUGUAAACCUCUGUCCUUGGUGACGAUAAUGACGGUAGCCAAGGAGGAAGCCACGGCUAACUACGUGCCAGCAGCCGCGGUAAUACGUAGGUGGCAAGCGUUGUCCGGAAUUACUGGGUGUAAAGGGAGCGCAGGCGGGAAGCCAAGUCAGCUGUGAAAACUACGGGCUUAACUUGUAGACUGCAGUUGAAACUGGUUUUCUUGAGUGAAGCAGAGGUU